CACGUCAUCCCCACCUUCCUCCGGUUUGUCACCGGCAGUCUCCUUAGAGUUCCCGCCAUUACGCGCUGGCAACUAAUGGCAAGGGUUGCGCUCGUUGCGGGACUUAACCCAACAUCUCACGACACGAGCUGACGACAGCCAUGCAGCACCUGUGUUACGGUUCUCUUUCGAGCACUCUCACAUCUCUGCGAGAUUCCGUACAUGUCAAGGGUAGGUAAGGUUUUUCGCGUUGCAUCGAAUUAAUCCACAUAAUCCACCGCUUGUGCGGGUCCCCGUCAAUUCCUUUGAGUUUUAACCUUGCGGCCGUACUCCCCAGGCGGUCAACUUCACGCGUUAGCUUCGUUACCAAGGAAUUGCUUCCCCGACAACCAGUUGACAUAGUUUAGGGCGUGGACUACCC
This 400-nucleotide unclassified non-coding RNA is filed under the name uncultured fungus. Its description in RNAcentral is "sequence contains ITS1". The record is from RNAcentral. Lineage: Eukaryota; Fungi.